RNAcentral lists this ribosomal RNA (497 nucleotides) under uncultured bacterium. RNAcentral's name for it is "partial 16S ribosomal RNA". It matches the Rfam family "Bacterial small subunit ribosomal RNA", at positions 28 to 507 of the family's 1533-position model. The record is from RNAcentral.
GAUGAACGCUGGCGGCGUGCCUAAUACAUGCAAGUCGAGCGAACGGACGAGAAGCUUGCUUCUCUGAUGUUAGCGGCGGACGGGUGAGUAACACGUGGAUAACCUACCUAUAAGACUGGGAUAACUUCGGGAAACCGGAGCUAAUACCGGAUGAUAUUUUGAACCGCAUGGUUCAAAGGUGAAAGACGGUCUUGCUGUCACUUAUAGAUGGAUCCGCGCUGCAUUAGCUAGUUGGUAAGGUAACGGCUUACCAAGGCCACGAUGCAUAGCCGACCUGAGAGGGUGAUCGGCCACACUGGAACUGAGACACGGUCCAGACUCCUACGGGAGGCAGCAGUAGGGAAUCUUCCGCAAUGGGCGAAAGCCUGACGGAGCAACGCCGCGUGAGUGAUGAAGGUCUUCGGAUCGUAAAACUCUGUUAUUAGGGAAGAACAUAUGUGUAAGUAACUGUGCACAUCCUGACGGUACCUAAUCAGAAAGCCACGGCUAACUACGUG